Molecule: ribosomal RNA, 575 nt
Filed under: Atkinsonella texensis
Lineage: Eukaryota; Fungi; Ascomycota; Sordariomycetes; Hypocreales; Clavicipitaceae
Description: eukaryotic LSU rRNA
Rfam family: Eukaryotic large subunit ribosomal RNA
Source: RNAcentral
AGGAAAAGAAACCAACAGGGAUUGCCCCAGUAACGGCGAGUGAAGCGGCAACAGCUCAAAUUUGAAAUCUGGCCCCUCGGGGCCCGAGUUGUAAUUUGCAGAGGAUGCUUUUGGCGAGGUGCCUUCCGAGUUCCCUGGAACGGGACGCCACAGAGGGUGAGAGCCCCGUCUGGUCGGACGCCGAGCCUCUGUAAAGCUCCUUCGACGAGUCGAGUAGUUUGGGAAUGCUGCUCUAAAUGGGAGGUAUAUGUCUUCUAAAGCUAAAUACCGGCCAGAGACCGAUAGCGCACAAGUAGAGUGAUCGAAAGAUGAAAAGCACUUUGAAAAGAGGGUUAAACAGUACGUGAAAUUGUUGAAAGGGAAGCGCUUACGACCAGACUUGGACCCGGCGAAUCAUCCAGCGUUCUCGCUGGUGCACUUCGCCGGGCUCCAGGCCAGCAUCAGUUCGCGCCGGGGGACAAAGGCUCGGGGAAUGUAGCUCCCCCGGGAGUGUUAUAGCCCCUUGCGCAAUACCCUGGGGCGGACUGAGGUUCGCGCAUCUCGCAAGGAUGCUGGCGUAAUGGUCGUCAGCGACC